This 527-nucleotide long non-coding RNA is filed under the name Ananas comosus (pineapple). Its description in RNAcentral is "long non-coding RNA (ACOM_LNC013384)". Lineage: Eukaryota; Viridiplantae; Streptophyta; Magnoliopsida; Poales; Bromeliaceae. The record is from RNAcentral.
UUUAGAUAAAUUUCAAACUUUUCCUUUGUUUUUUUCUUUUUGCCUCUUUUCUAGGGAUGUCAAUGGAUAUGGAUAUUCGAAAUUUUAUCUGAACCCGAAUCCGAAUGAAACGGAUAUAUCCGAUGGAUACGGAUAUCAAAAAUAGAAACCCGACGGAUAUGGAUUCAGAUAUGGAUUUUGAUUGUACCCGACCCGAACCCGAACCCGACCCGAACCCGAAUUUAUUUUGUAUUAUAUAUAAUAUAUAUAUAAAAAUUUGAUGUUAUAUUUGAAUUUGUAUUUUAAAAAUUUAGGUUUAAUAUAAUAUAUUUUGAAAUAUUGAAAAAAGAAAUAAUUGUUUCGGGUUUAAAUUUUCGGGUUCGGGUUCGGGUUUCGAAUUUUUUGUUGGAUUCCGGUUUGGAUAUAGAUUUUUAAAAUCCGUUGGGUUCAGGUUCGAGUUCGGGUCUCGGAUUUGGAGUCGGGUUUGGGUUCGGAUUUUUAAAAAUCCACCCCGAAUCCGACCCGUUGACAUCUCUACUCUUUUCUCC